RNAcentral lists this unclassified non-coding RNA (325 nucleotides) under uncultured bacterium. Its description in RNAcentral is "contains 16S-23S intergenic spacer region". The record is from RNAcentral.
ACACCAUCCGGAAAAAGAUGAAGAUGGGAAACAUAUUCCCUUCACCAGACAUGAAGCCGGAAUGAUUUUAGGUCAGACAGCCUCUUUGGUUUCUUUUUACUUUAAUGCAAUAGAAUCAUAAUAUUUGGUGGAUAAACGAACAGCUAUCGGUCUUUUGAAAAGUAAAGUUCAUAGAAUUCUGCUACCCUAAAACUUUCCCCACAACAUACGCCGACCAAUGAUCCGUCACUUCAACAAAACGAGAGGGUGUAGAUGGAUCGGACUUUCUGAGGGUGGGUGUAUCUUUUAGCAGGUACACUUCCAUCUCACGAAAACCGGCUUCUUC